AAUACAGAAUGAUUAACAAAACGAAUCGGCAUCACUUUUUCUUCAACGAUGAACUGUCAUCUCACACCAAAACAACCGGAUCAUAUAACUGGUGAGUAUGGAAUCUUUUUCUGUUUUUCAUUUUAUAUUUUUUUUUAGUUUGGAGUUUGUGGAAUAGAUAGGUUUUUACUUUAUGAAUCUGGAACGAACGGAUUGCUACCGGCGGCAUUCCUGAACGCAAUUGGGUCCAACACGGAAGCUAAACUAGUUCAUAUGCAUCCGGACAACGUUGCCCAGAAGCAGGCACAACAAGCAAUGAAUUUCGAUACGGAACAACUGAGCAGAUGCAUAUCAGUGAAAGUUUAUUCCGUUCUGAGACAUUUCUACCAACGAAGUAAGGACACGAACGGUAUUGAAUUGAAUGAUGCUAAGCCAGAUCAACAGUGUGGGGAGACUGACGGUGUAGAUUCGCAUCCAACUUUAGUGAUUUUUCACCAGUGAGAAAUUCACAAGUGUUUACAUAUGCUGAAUUUAUUCAAGUUAUGUAUACCUCGAAUAAGUGUAUCAUAUUUAUUCUCACCCGUUUACACCUAUAUUCACGUGAAUAAAUCCAUCUAUAGCUAUAGAUCUCCCUAAUGUAAACCCGCCAUUACUCUUACCUAAACUUGUAAACAAAGCUCAAUUCGCGUUGACGGCAUUGGGCUUCAUUUACCAGUUUAGGGGAGCGUCAAAGAUAAUGAUUGAUUUUCAGGAUAAAACUACAGCGGCCUUACGUUUUUUUUCACUGGGUUUGUAUCGAUUAAUCGACGUAAAUUAUUCGUUCGCUUCGAUUAUUGGUUGCGCAGUAUUCGUUCGAUUAAUAAUCGAUUUCUGUAGGAAGUAUUCGAUUAAUCGAUUAAUCGAACGAUUAUCGGGGAUCACUAUUUGCGACCCGGACAUCCCACAAUCCAAUUGACAAAAAAAUCAUCGAAACUUCGUUGGUCGAAAAUACAGAAUGAUUAACAAAACGAAUCGGCAUCACUUUUUCUUCAACGAUGAACUGUCAUCUCACACCAAAACAACCGGAUCAUAUAACUGGUGAGUAUGGAAUCUUUUUCUGUUUUUCAUUUUAUAUUUUUUUUUAGUUUGGAGUUUGUGGAAUAGAUAGGUUUUUACUUUAUGAAUCUGGAACGAACGGAUUGCUACCGGCGGCAUUCCUGAACGCAAUUGGGUCCAACACGGAAGCUAAACUAGUUCAUAUGCAUCCGGACAACGUUGCCCAGAAGCAGGCACAACAAGCAAUGAAUUUCGAUACGGAACAACUGAGCAGAUGCAUAUCAGUGAAAGUUUAUUCCGUUCUGAGACAUUUCUACCAACGAAGUAAGGACACGAACGGUAUUGAAUUGAAUGAUGCUAAGCCAGAUCAACAGUGUGGGGAGACUGACGGUGUAGAUUCGCCACAGGUGGAAAUUAAUCACAAACGCAAGAUGUGACAUUAUCAGAUUCUCCCAAAGUGGUUUCUUACCAGCUAUGAAUACACCCGUUCGGAUGAUGUGGCUUUUUUGCUUCCAUCAACUGCAGUCAACAGCAUCGGCUUUCCCGUAGCAGUAUCCUCCAAGCCAUGGUGGCUGUUCCAGGGGACAACAUCAACAGCAGCAGCAUCUGGACCUGACCAUCGAUAGUGUUUCGAGCAACUUUCCAUAUCGGAGAUCUCGUGCUUCGCGCACAUUGAAGAAACCUCCUCAGCCACAUAUGUGUGUCAAGGAGAAAAAGGAGCUGGAUUCGAAUCGUCAAUCCAGACAACCCGAAUGCACCGAUUGCAUUAUAUAUCUUGUUUAUAUUUUAUAUGCAUUUUGUGUUU
Long non-coding RNA from Toxorhynchites rutilus septentrionalis, 1819 nucleotides. RefSeq lists it as uncharacterized. The transcript is spliced from 3 exons. Lineage: Eukaryota; Metazoa; Arthropoda; Insecta; Diptera; Culicidae. The record is from RefSeq and is a predicted model, not a curated record.